AGGACUAACGCUGGCGGCGUGCCUAACACAUGCAAGUCGAACGAACGUAGCAAUACGUUAGUGGCAGACGGGUGAGUAACGCGUAGUCAACCUACCUCUUAGUGGGGGAUAACUAAUCGAAAGGUUAGCUAAUACCGCAUACGAUCGUCGAGUGGCAUCACUUGACGAUGAAAGCAGCAAUGCGCCGAGAGACGGGACUGCGUCCCAUUAGUUAGUUGGUGGGGUAAUGGCCUACCAAGACUCCGAUGGGUAGCUGGCUUGAGAGAGCGACCAGCCACACUGGAACUGAGACACGGUCCAGACUCCUACGGGAGGCAGCAGUGAGGAAUUUUCCGCAAUGGGCGAAAGCCUGACGGAGCGACGUCGCGUGUGGGAAGAAGGCCUUCGGGUCGUAAACCACUGUCGAAGGGGAAGAUAUUGACGGUACCCUUGGAGGAAGCCCCGGCUAACUACGCGCCAGCAGCCGC
RNAcentral lists this ribosomal RNA (467 nucleotides) under uncultured bacterium. RNAcentral's name for it is "SSU rRNA". It matches the Rfam family "Bacterial small subunit ribosomal RNA", at positions 26 to 518 of the family's 1533-position model. The record is from RNAcentral.